Molecule: ribosomal RNA, 727 nt
Filed under: Micrapoderiger minutissimus
Lineage: Eukaryota; Metazoa; Arthropoda; Insecta; Coleoptera; Staphylinidae
Description: partial 28S ribosomal RNA
Source: RNAcentral
GCCGACCUCCAUGGCCACCGUUCUGCUGUCUUUAGUUACUAACGCCUUUUGUGGGGUCCGAUAUGCGUUGAUUUUGGCACUUUAACUUUACGACCGGUUCAUCCCGCAUCGCCAGUUCUGCUUACCAAAAAUGGCCCACUAAAGGCCUUUACUAUCUAUCCACUCGCUACGUAUGUGCAUAGCUUAAUGGAAAACACACACAUUAACAGUUUGAGAAUAGGUUGAGAACGUUUCGAACCCAACGACUCUAAUCAUUCGCUUUACCGCAUGUGACUAUCACAUUAUAGACCUCAGCUAUCCUUAGGGAAACUUCGAAAGGAACCAGCUACUAGAUGGUUCGAUUGGUCUUUCGCCCCUAUACAAAGCUCUGAUGAUCGAUUUGCACGUCAGAACCAUUGCGGACCUCCACCAGAGUUUCCCCUGGCUUCAUCCUUUCCAUGCAUAGUUCACCAUCUUUCGGGUUCCAGAGCACAAGCUACUAGUACGGCAGCGAGAGAGAGAGAUAAAUCAUUUUACUGAUUGCCGCCACUCUCUCUCGCUUAUAAUUGCCAUCUCCGAUUUGCCUAGACGCUCUCUAUCUUUAUAUAUGUAAACGUCUCAUCAUACAAACAUAUAUAUAUGUAUAAUAAUAUAUCUAUGUAUAUUAUUUGCUUUCGUUAAGUUUGACGGAUUCAAUAAUAUUGUGUUGAACCUUUGCGUCACGCUCAUUCGCUGGACUCCUUGGUCC